AUGGCCUGGGCUGUAUAUUUCAUGGUACUUCUCAGUUACUGCUCAGGUGUCAUCUCACAGCCAACGUUGACUCAACCUGCCUCCCAGUCCGUACCCCAGGGACAAACUAUCAAAAUCUCCUGCACUGCCAGCAGUAGCGUGGGCACUGUUUACUGGUAUCAACAGAAACCUGGACAGAGCCCUCGCUUUGUGCACUGUGAUGCUUGCAGCAGCAGGGGAUCUGUCAUCCCAGAUCGGUUCACUGCAACCCGCUCUGGGACCACAGGAUAUUUAACCAUCACCGGCACUGAAACUGAAGACGCCGCCGAUUACUACUGCGGUGCCUGGUUUGGCAACUUGCACAGUGAUCGGUUCACUGCAUCUCCCUCUGGAAACAUUGGCUAUUUAACCAUCACUAGCAUCCAUGUUGAAGAUGAGGCAGAUUAUUAUUGUUCAGUGUGGCAGAGCAUUGGUUCUGAGCUGUAG
Molecule: non-coding RNA, 465 nt
Organism: Elgaria multicarinata webbii
Lineage: Eukaryota; Metazoa; Chordata; Lepidosauria; Squamata; Anguidae
Source: the annotation of a RefSeq genome assembly